CCCUUAGAUGUUCUGGGCCGCACGCGCGCUACACUGAUGCAUUCAACGAGUUUCUUCCUGGUCCGAGAGGAAUGGGUAACCUUUUGAAAGUGCAUCGUGAUAGGGAUAGACUAUUGCAAUUAUUGGUCUUCAACGAGGAAUUCCUAGUAGACGUAGUUCAUCAGACUGCAUCGAUUACGUCCCUGCCCUUUGUACACACCGCCCGUCGCUACUACCGAUUGAAUGGUUUAGUGAGGCCUUCUGACUGGCGCCGCUACUCUGGCAACAGAGCGGCGGAUGCCGGGAAGUUGGUCAAACUUGAUCAUUUAGAGGAAGUAAAAGUCGUAACA
Molecule: ribosomal RNA, 329 nt
Filed under: uncultured eukaryote
Lineage: Eukaryota
Description: partial 18S ribosomal RNA
Rfam family: Eukaryotic small subunit ribosomal RNA
Source: RNAcentral